AGUAAAGCAAGGGGUAUAAAUUACGGAACUAAUGGAAACCCCUUCAAAACCACUGAUCAAAUAACAUUUCCUUUCCAACAGGCUAUUCUUACUUCUCUUAAGCGAAAAGUGGUUAUGGUGCUCCAUUUCACUGAUAUACUGGACUUGAGAACAGAAGGAGUAACAGAAAAGCAGAAUAUCGGACAAAUGUACAUCUAAAUUUGCUUUGAUUUUUCUCUACAUAGAAGUUGUGCAACCUUUACCAGAACAGAAGAUGGAGCAUGGCUAUAAUUUGACUGGUAUACGUGUGAUGUGGUCAUUUCUGCACUAGUGAGGAACAGCUUACAAUAAACUGUAAUACCUCCACAUUACUAUAACUGUAGUCACAGUAUGGACUGUACUCAUAAAGAAAUGACAAAUCAUACUAUAGGGGAUUAUGGCUCGCUAUUUUUCUGAAUUAAAGUGGUAAGUAUUUCUCCACAUGAACUUGCCCAGAAGUCAAACAAUCAAUUCUUUUUUAUAAAAAAAGGCAAAGGAUUUGGCAUAUUCAUGAAAAUUGAAUUUUCACCUAUCUAGAGGUUGCAGUGCAGCCAUCCCUCUUUACUUCUCACUACAUAACCUUUGAGCUGGGUAGUGGAUGUUUCUCUUUUUUAUAUCUGUAAUAUUUACUUUUUACUGUCAAGACAUACGUCACAUAAUCCAAGAAAAUGAUGAACAUUUUGUCUGCUCCACAAAUCAGUAUAGUCCAUGCUUUAGCUUCUAUGUGUGAAGUCAUAUGUGCAUAUCAGACUUUCAUAUUUGUCAAAAAUUUUUCCUAGUGGAGUGAUUUAAUGUGAGGCUUUAGAAAUUACUCUGUUCUUUUGCAAACCAGAACAGCCAGACUGCAAGCUGGUGAUCCAGUGAUCUAGGAGUGUAGACUGGAAAUAGAGCUUCUUCCUUGCUGCUUUGACUGUGCACAACGCUUAAAGGUAGUCACAUAGUGAUCAUCCUCAGUGGAAUUUACCCCACUGACUCACUAGUACCAAGUGGUAAUUGUACCCAUGCAAGGAGGAGCAAACCCAUCAAGCUAAAGCUGCCCCAAAGACAGGGGAUGAAUAUGUAGAUCUUUAUCUUUAGUAACCAUAACAAAUCUCACUACAUUGUGUUGCAUAUUUUUAUGUUAACAAUAUUGAAUGAAAGGGUAUGACAUAAAGGAGCACCUCCCAAGAUAUCUGUAACAAUAACAGUUUACAAAUAUGGCUACUAAUUAAUUAGACGAAGGAAAAAUGGUGGACUUCAUCUUACUCCCUGUUGAAUAUCUGCAGUGUUUGUACCAGAUGCCUAUGCCUUUCUUUGCUAAGUCUGGACAGAAAUAGGCUCUUUUAUAUAUACUAUUUUACACAGUACGAUUCACCACACAGUACUGAAACAAAGCUGUAUUAACUUUGUCAUAAAAGUUAUGAUCUCAGGGCUCAAAGAAAAGAGGUUAUGUAAGGAGUGCAGUACUGGUAGGCCUUCUUAAAGAUUGUACAAUCUCAUUAUGCUUUUGUCCUGUUUCCACAUAAUUCAAGAAACUGUAGUUAGCUGAAAGUGCAAUUAAAGAAACAAACUGAGAAAAUUGAUAUGAAAUUAUCUAUUUUGUUCUGAUGAUGAUUUAUUUCUUUUUUUUGAUAGUUAACAGUCUAAAGUAAAAAUAUUAUUUUCACAAGAGGUAGACCCAAGCUUCCUCUGUGUAUGCGGACACACUUAGAUCUGUUUGUGUCUUACUAAUUGCAUAAAAUCUUGAUCAUACUUUUGAGCUUAUUUAAAAAGGGGCUUAAAUGAGAAGUUAGUGGAAAAACACACGGUCUCUCUGCCUACAUGGAUCAGAAUCAAUUCAGCAUAUGAAGGAUUGAAAAAGGAAGUGCAAAAGCCCUGCGAGCAUAAAACAAAGAUAGUCUGCCAAGGCAGAAUGAAAAGGGUCAAGGUAGCUUUGGCACACAGGGCCACGAGUAAUGAGCUGAGCUUAGAAUAGAACAUGUUAAUUGAAAGACUAAUGUUGUUUAUAUAACUGAAAAUACUAUAAAUAUGCAAUCUGGAAAUAAACUGGAGCUUGCUUGCCUGCUUGCUCGCCUGCUUGCUCGCUUGCUCGCUGCAGCUCAGCUCGGCUUCUCAUCCUGUGCCUGAUUAUCUGUCUCCAUCAACCAUUUGCAACACUUAAACUUCCGUUUCCUCAAACAAAUCUGUCAGUAAUUUCUCCAGGGUAUCAGCCUUCCCUGAACUUAUUUCGGCUGCCUGAAUUUCAGUUAGGUCUUGAAAAGCGUUGAUUGGAAUUGACAGAAAAGAGAAACUCCUCUGACAUAGAUAGUAUCACAGCAUUAAUUAACUUAAAGAAAUAAUCGCUGUUUUAUUCACUUUUCAUCUUCCUGAUACACAGCUAGCAGGUCAAUCUGUGCAUGGAUGUAGACAGAACAGGUGUUAAUCCCUUUUGGUUUGGUAAUAUACUAAAGGCAUUCAUCAGUAAGUAGACAUGGCAAAUGAAUAAAGGACGUAUAAUAAUUUCACUGAAAUAAAUGUAAAGAUACACAGUAACUGGUUUUUGGAGCAUGUCUUACCUGAGGAAGUAAAGCUCAGUUUUUCACCCUUGGGCCACCAACUGGCAGGGACCUGAAAGUUUAUUGUGAAAACAGGUCAACAUAGUUGCAAAGAAAGCUGCAUCCACUUAAUUCACUGAUAGGUUACUUUGCUUUGGGAAAAAGCAAAAAGACACUAAACUGAAUAGUCCAGGGUCUUCCGAGUUGUUCAAAACUCCAGUUUUGGAAUCCUCAACGUAAGAAGGAUAUGGAGCUGUUGGAGUGGAUCCAGAGGAGGUCUACAAAGAUGAUCGGAGGGCUGGAGCACCUCCCCUACAAGGACAGGCUGAGAGAGUUGGGCCUGUUCAGCCUGGAGAAGAGAAGGCUCAGAGGAGAUCUUAUAGCAACCUUCCAUACGUGAAGAGGGCCUACAGAAAAGCUGGGGAGGGGCUAUUCAUAAAGGCUUGUGGGGAUAAGACCAGGGGAAAUGGGUAUAAACUGGAGAGGGGCAGAUUUCUUCACCGUGAGAGUGGUGAGAUGCUGGAACAUGUUGCCCAGGGGAGCUGUGGCUGCCCCAUCCCUGGAAGUGUUCAAGGCCAGGCUGGAUGGAGCCUUGCACAGCCUGAUCCAGUGGGAUGUCCCUGCACAUGUCUGGGGUGUUGGAACUAGAUGAUCUUUAAGGUCCC
Cuculus canorus (common cuckoo) is the source of this 3196-nucleotide long non-coding RNA. RefSeq lists it as uncharacterized. NCBI's taxonomy places the organism in Eukaryota, Metazoa, Chordata, Aves, Cuculiformes, Cuculidae. The record is from RefSeq and is a predicted model, not a curated record. The transcript is spliced from 3 exons.